RNAcentral lists this ribosomal RNA (250 nucleotides) under uncultured prokaryote. Its description in RNAcentral is "partial 16S ribosomal RNA". It matches the Rfam family "Bacterial small subunit ribosomal RNA", at positions 524 to 773 of the family's 1533-position model. The record is from RNAcentral.
UACAUAGGUAGCGAGCGUUAUCCGGAAUGACUGGGCGUAAAGGGAGCGUAGGUGGUGAAUUAAGUCUUGUGUGAAAGCCCUUGGCUCAACUGAGGGAUUGCACAAGAAACUGGUUGACUAGAGUGUGAGAGAGGCAAGUGGAAUUCCUAGUGUAGCGGUAGAAUGCGUAGAGAUUAGGGGGAACACCAGAGGCGAAGGCGGCUUGCUGGCUCAUAACUGACACUGAGGCUCGAAAGCGUGGGGAGCAAAC